GCUCAGCUGGAUAGAGUACCUGGCUACGAACCAGGCGGUCAGAGGUUCGAAUCCUCUCGAGCGCGCCA
Molecule: transfer RNA, 68 nt
Filed under: Vibrio cholerae HC-69A1
Lineage: Bacteria; Pseudomonadati; Pseudomonadota; Gammaproteobacteria; Vibrionales; Vibrionaceae
Description: partial tRNA-Arg
Rfam family: tRNA
About the family: Transfer RNA (tRNA) molecules are approximately 80 nucleotides in length. Their secondary structure includes four short double-helical elements and three loops (D, anti-codon, and T loops).
Source: RNAcentral